RNAcentral lists this non-coding RNA (30 nucleotides) under Homo sapiens (human). The record is from RNAcentral. Lineage: Eukaryota; Metazoa; Chordata; Mammalia; Primates; Hominidae.
AUGGGCAGAUGAAAUUGGGCUGUGGUGGGU